This 1275-nucleotide ribosomal RNA is filed under the name Escherichia coli. RNAcentral's name for it is "partial 23S ribosomal RNA". It matches the Rfam family "Bacterial large subunit ribosomal RNA", at positions 609 to 1869 of the family's 2925-position model. Lineage: Bacteria; Pseudomonadati; Pseudomonadota; Gammaproteobacteria; Enterobacterales; Enterobacteriaceae. The record is from RNAcentral.
UGUAUAAUGGGUCAGCGACUUAUAUUCUGUAGCAAGGUUAACCGAAUAGGGGAGCCGAAGGGAAACCGAGUCUUAACUGGGCGUUAAGUUGCAGGGUAUAGACCCGAAACCCGGUGAUCUAGCCAUGGGCAGGUUGAAGGUUGGGUAACACUAACUGGAGGACCGAACCGACUAAUGUUGAAAAAUUAGCGGAUGACUUGUGGCUGGGGGUGAAAGGCCAAUCAAACCGGGAGAUAGCUGGUUCUCCCCGAAAGCUAUUUAGGUAGCGCCUCGUGAAUUCAUCUCCGGGGGUAGAGCACUGUUUCGGCAAGGGGGUCAUCCCGACUUACCAACCCGAUGCAAACUGCGAAUACCGGAGAAUGUUAUCACGGGAGACACACGGCGGGUGCUAACGUCCGUCGUGAAGAGGGAAACAACCCAGACCGCCAGCUAAGGUCCCAAAGUCAUGGUUAAGUGGGAAACGAUGUGGGAAGGCCCAGACAGCCAGGAUGUUGGCUUAGAAGCAGCCAUCAUUUAAAGAAAGCGUAAUAGCUCACUGGUCGAGUCGGCCUGCGCGGAAGAUGUAACGGGGCUAAACCAUGCACCGAAGCUGCGGCAGCGACGCUUAUGCGUUGUUGGGUAGGGGAGCGUUCUGUAAGCCUGCGAAGGUGUGCUGUGAGGCAUGCUGGAGGUAUCAGAAGUGCGAAUGCUGACAUAAGUAACGAUAAAGCGGGUGAAAAGCCCGCUCGCCGGAAGACCAAGGGUUCCUGUCCAACGUUAAUCGGGGCAGGGUGAGUCGACCCCUAAGGCGAGGCCGAAAGGCGUAGUCGAUGGGAAACAGGUUAAUAUUCCUGUACUUGGUGUUACUGCGAAGGGGGGACGGAGAAGGCUAUGUUGGCCGGGCGACGGUUGUCCCGGUUUAAGCGUGUAGGCUGGUUUUCCAGGCAAAUCCGGAAAAUCAAGGCUGAGGCGUGAUGACGAGGCACUACGGUGCUGAAGCAACAAAUGCCCUGCUUCCAGGAAAAGCCUCUAAGCAUCAGGUAACAUCAAAUCGUACCCCAAACCGACACAGGUGGUCAGGUAGAGAAUACCAAGGCGCUUGAGAGAACUCGGGUGAAGGAACUAGGCAAAAUGGUGCCGUAACUUCGGGAGAAGGCACGCUGAUAUGUAGGUGAGGUCCCUCGCGGAUGGAGCUGAAAUCAGUCGAAGAUACCAGCUGGCUGCAACUGUUUAUUAAAAACACAGCACUGUGCAAACACGAAAGUGGACGUAUACGGUGUGACGCCUGCCCGGUGC